Molecule: unclassified non-coding RNA, 157 nt
Filed under: uncultured fungus
Lineage: Eukaryota; Fungi
Description: sequence contains ITS1, 5.8S rRNA gene
Source: RNAcentral
CAGAGUUCAUGCCCUCACGGGUAGAUCUCCCACCCUUGAGUAUUAUACUUCUGUUGCUUUGGCGGGCCGCUUAGGCUACCGGCUUCGGCUGGUGAGUGCCCGCCAGAGGACCCAAAACUCUGAAUUAUAGUGUUGUCCGAGUACUAUAUAAUAGUUA